GGCCACAAAGGCCGGGCGAGGCAGUAUACAAGCCCUGAGGAGAUCGACGCGCAGCUGCAGGCUGAGAAGCAGAAGGCCAGGGUGAGAAGAAGAGGAGCAAAAAGAAGGUGGAGAUGGGGCUGCAGGUGACCCCAAAAAGGAGAAGAAAUCUCUAGACUCAGAUGAGAGUGAGGAUGAAGAAGAUGACUACCAGGUACUGAAUCUUCUGAGGGCCUGAGGCCUGGACUCAUUAAUUCAACAAAGAAACGUUGAGUGACCAUUUAGUACUAGUCC
RNAcentral lists this small RNA (273 nucleotides) under Pongo abelii (Sumatran orangutan). Its description in RNAcentral is "retained intron". The record is from RNAcentral. Lineage: Eukaryota; Metazoa; Chordata; Mammalia; Primates; Hominidae.